GGUUAAGCGACUAAGCGUACACGGUGGAUGCCCUGGCAGUCAGAGGCGAUGAAGGACGUGCUAAUCUGCGAAAAGCGUCGGUAAGGUGAUAUGAACCGUUAUAGCCGGCGAUGUCCGAAUGGGGAAACCCAGUGCAAUUCGUUGCACUAUCGUUAACUGAAUACAUAGGUUAACGAGGCGAACCGGGGGAACUGAAACAUCUAAGUACCCCGAGGAAAAGAAAUCAACCGAGAUUCCCCCAGUAGCGGCGAGCGAACGGGGAGCAGCCCAGAGUCUGAAUCAGCUUGUGUGUUAGUGGAACGGUCUGGAAAGUCCGACGGUACAGGGUGAUAGUCCCGUACACCAAAAUGCACAGGUUGUGAACUCGAAGAGUAGGGCGGGACACGUGGUAUCCUGUCUGAAUAUGGGGGGACCAUCCUCCAAGGCUAAAUACUCCUGACUGACCGAUAGUGAACCAGUACCGUGAGGGAAAGGCGAAAAGAACCCCGGCGAGGGGAGUGAAAAAGAACCUGAAACCGUGUACGUACAAGCAGUGGGAGCACCUUCGGGUGUGACUGCGUACCUUUUGUAUAAUGGGUCAGCGACUUAUAUUCUGUAGCAAGGUUAACCGUAUAGGGGAGCCGCAGGGAAACCGAGUCUUAACUGGGCGUUAAGUUGCAGGGUAUAGACCCGAAACCCGGUGAUCUAGCCAUGGGCAGGUUGAAGGUUGGGUAACACUAACUGGAGGACCGAACCGACUAAUGUUGAAAAAUUAGCGGAUGACUUGUGGCUGGGGGUGAAAGGCCAAUCAAACCGGGAGAUAGCUGGUUCUCCCCGAAAGCUAUUUAGGUAGCGCCUCGUGAAUUCAUCUUCGGGGGUAGAGCACUGUUUCGGCUAGGGGGUCAUCCCGACUUACCAACCCGAUGCAAACUACGAAUACCGAAGAAUGUUAUCACGGGAGACACACGGCGGGUGCUAACGUCCGUCGUGAAGAGGGAAACAACCCAGACCGCCAGCUAAGGUCCCAAAGUCAUGGUUAAGUGGGAAACGAUGUGGGAAGGCACAGACAGCCAGGAUGUUGGCUUAGAAGCAGCCAUCAUUUAAAGAAAGCGUAAUAGCUCACUGGUCGAGUCGGCCUGCGCGGAAGAUGUAACGGGGCUAAACCAUGCACCGAAGCUGCGGCAGCGACACUAUGUGUUGUUGGGUAGGGGAGCGUUCUGUAAGCCUGCGAAGGUGACCUGUGAGGGUUGCUGGAGGUAUCAGAAGUGCGAAUGCUGACAUAAGUAACGAUAAAGCGGGUGAAAAGCCCGCUCGCCGGAAGACCAAGGGUUCCUGUCCAACGUUAAUCGGGGCAGGGUGAGUCGACCCCUAAGGCGAGGCCGAAAGGCGUAGUCGAUGGGAAACAGGUUAAUAUUCCUGUACUUGGUGUUACUGCGAAGGGGGGACGGAGAAGGCUAUGUUAGCCGGGCGACGGUUGUCCCGGUUUAAGCAUGUAGGCUGGUUGUCCAGGCAAAUCCGGAUAAUCAAGGCUGAGGUGUGAUGACGAGGCACUACGGUGCUGAAGUAACAAAUGCCCUGCUUCCAGGAAAAGCCUCUAAGCAUCAGGUAACAUCAAAUCGUACCCCAAACCGACACAGGUGGUCAGGUAGAGAAUACCAAGGCGCUUGAGAGAACUCGGGUGAAGGAACUAGGCAAAAUGGUGCCGUAACUUCGGGAGAAGGCACGCUGGUGUGUAGGUGAAGCCCCUGCGGGUGGAGCUGAGACCAGUCGAAGAUACCAGCUGGCUGCAACUGUUUAUUAAAAACACAGCACUGUGCAAACACGAAAGUGGACGUAUACGGUGUGACGCCUGCCCGGUGCCGGAAGGUUAAUUGAUGGGGUUAUCCGUAAGGAGAAGCUCUUGAUCGAAGCCCCGGUAAACGGCGGCCGUAACUAUAACGGUCCUAAGGUAGCGAAAUUCCUUGUCGGGUAAGUUCCGACCUGCACGAAUGGCGUAAUGAUGGCCAGGCUGUCUCCACCCGAGACUCAGUGAAAUUGAACUCGCUGUGAAGAUGCAGUGUACCCGCGGCAAGACGGAAAGACCCCGUGAACCUUUACUAUAGCUUGACACUGAACAUUGAGCCUUGAUGUGUAGGAUAGGUGGGAGGCUUUGAAGCGUGGACGCCAGUCUGCGUGGAGCCAACCUUGAAAUACCACCCUUUAAUGUUUGAUGUUCUAACGUUGGCCCCUGACCGGGGUUGCGGACAGUGUCUGGUGGGUAGUUUGACUGGGGCGGUCUCCUCCCAAAGCGUAACGGAGGAGCACGAAGGUUAGCUAAUCCUGGUCGGACAUCAGGAGGUUAGUGCAAUGGCAUAAGCUAGCUUGACUGCGAGCGUGACGGCGCGAGCAGGUGCGAAAGCAGGUCAUAGUGAUCCGGUGGUUCUGAAUGGAAGGGCCAUCGCUCAACGGAUAAAAGGUACUCCGGGGAUAACAGGCUGAUACCGCCCAAGAGUUCAUAUCGACGGCGGUGUUUGGCACCUCGAUGUCGGCUCAUCACAUCCUGGGGCUGAAGUAGGUCCCAAGGGUAUGGCUGUUCGCCAUUUAAAGUGGUACGCGAGCUGGGUUUAGAACGUCGUGAGACAGUUCGGUCCCUAUCUGCCGUGGGCGCUGGAGAAUUGAGGGGGGCUGCUCCUAGUACGAGAGGACCGGAGUGGACGCAUCACUGGUGUUCGGGUUGUCAUGCCAAUGGCACUGCCCGGUAGCUAAAUGCGGAAGAGAUAAGUGCUGAAAGCAUCUAAGCACGAAACUUGCCCCGAGAUGAGUUCUCCCUGAGACUUUAAGUCUCCUGAAGGAACGUUGAAGACGACGACGUUGAUAGGCCGGGUGUGUAAGCGCAGCGAUGCGUUGAGCUAACCGGUACUAAUGAACCGUGAGGCUUAACCUU
RNAcentral lists this ribosomal RNA (2902 nucleotides) under Klebsiella pneumoniae. Its description in RNAcentral is "23S ribosomal RNA". It matches the Rfam family "Bacterial large subunit ribosomal RNA". Lineage: Bacteria; Pseudomonadati; Pseudomonadota; Gammaproteobacteria; Enterobacterales; Enterobacteriaceae. The record is from RNAcentral.